This 495-nucleotide ribosomal RNA is filed under the name uncultured bacterium. RNAcentral's name for it is "partial 16S ribosomal RNA". It matches the Rfam family "Bacterial small subunit ribosomal RNA", at positions 28 to 507 of the family's 1533-position model. The record is from RNAcentral.
GACGAACGCUGGCGGCGUGCCUAAUACAUGCAAGUAGAACGCUGAAGGAGGAGCUUGCUCUUCUGGAUGAGUUGCGAACGGGUGAGUAACGCGUAGGUAACCUGCCUGGUAGCGGGGGAUAACUAUUGGAAACGAUAGCUAAUACCGCAUAACAGUAGAUGUUGCAUGACAUUUACUUAAAAGGUGCAAUUUCAUCACUACCAGAUGGACCUGCGUUGUAUUAGCUAGUUGGUGGGGUAACGGCUCACCAAGGCGACGAUACAUAGCCGACCUGAGAGGGUGAUCGGCCACACUGGGAAUGAGACACGGCCCAGACUCCUACGGGAGGCAGCAGUAGGGAAUCUUCGGCAAUGGACGGAAGUCUGACCGAGCAACGCCGCGUGAGUGAAGAAGGUUUUCGGAUCGUAAAGCUCUGUUGUAAGAGAAGAACGAGUGUGAGAGUGGAAAGUUCACACUGUGACGGUAUCUUACCAGAAAGGGACGGCUAACUACGUG